RNAcentral lists this small nucleolar RNA (135 nucleotides) under Cynoglossus semilaevis (tongue sole). The record is from RNAcentral. Lineage: Eukaryota; Metazoa; Chordata; Actinopteri; Pleuronectiformes; Cynoglossidae.
CACGCACACUGUUAGAGCCCGACGCUGUCCUGUCUGUGCAGUGCAGGGUGUAGGAUGUGUGCCAGAAAAUAUGCCUGACCUCUAACCUUUCCUUCUGAUUGACAGAAGGUAAUGGGUUAAGGACAGGCCACAGUG